RNAcentral lists this ribosomal RNA (481 nucleotides) under uncultured bacterium. Its description in RNAcentral is "partial 16S ribosomal RNA". It matches the Rfam family "Bacterial small subunit ribosomal RNA", at positions 28 to 523 of the family's 1533-position model. The record is from RNAcentral.
GACGAAUGCUGGCUGCGUGCUUAACACAUGCAAGUCGAACGGUGAAGGGGAGCUUGCUCCCCGGAUCAGUGGCGAACGGGUGAGUAACACGUGGGCAACCUGCCCCUCACUCUGGGAUAACUCCGGGAAACCGGGGCUAAUACCGGAUACGACCGGGAGCGACAUCGCUCCUGGUGGAAAGAACUUCGGUGAGGGAUGGGCCCGCGGCCUAUCAGCUAGUUGGUGGGGUAACGGCCCACCAAGGCGACGACGGGUAGCCGGCCUGAGAGGGCGACCGGCCACACUGGGACUGAGACACGGCCCAGACUCCUACGGGAGGCAGCAGUGGGGAAUAUUGCGCAAUGGGCGAAAGCCUGACGCAGCGACACAGCGUGAGGGACGAAGGCCUUCGGGUUGUAAACCUCUUUCAGCGGGGACGAAGCGAAAGUGACGGUACCCGCAGAAGAAGCACCGGCUAACUACGUGCCAGCCGCCGUCGUAA